This 82-nucleotide transfer RNA is filed under the name Pseudomonadota bacterium. RNAcentral describes it as "Proteobacteria bacterium (activated sludge metagenome) tRNA-Leu". It matches the Rfam family "tRNA". From Rfam's summary of the family: Transfer RNA (tRNA) molecules are approximately 80 nucleotides in length. Their secondary structure includes four short double-helical elements and three loops (D, anti-codon, and T loops). Lineage: Bacteria; Pseudomonadati; Pseudomonadota. The record is from RNAcentral.
GGCUUGGUAGCGAAGUGGUCAAACGCGGUCGACUCAAGAUUGACUCCCUCCGGGUUCGCAGGUUCGAUCCCUGCCCAAGCUU